UACGAAGGGGGCUAGCGUUGCUCGGAAUCACUGGGCGUAAAGCGCACGUAGGCGGAUCGUUAAGUCGGGGGUGAAAUCCUGGAGCUCAACUCCAGAACUGCCUUCGAUACUGGCGAUCUUGGAGUCCGGGAGAGGUGAGUGGAACUCCGAGUGUAGAGGUGAAAUUCGUAGAUAUUGGGAAGAACACCGGUGGCGAAGGCGGCCAUCUGGACCGCAACUGACGCUGAGGCGCGAAAGCGUGGGGAGCAAACAGG
Molecule: ribosomal RNA, 254 nt
Filed under: uncultured bacterium
Lineage: Bacteria
Description: partial 16S ribosomal RNA
Rfam family: Bacterial small subunit ribosomal RNA
Source: RNAcentral